RNAcentral lists this ribosomal RNA (248 nucleotides) under uncultured bacterium. RNAcentral's name for it is "partial small subunit ribosomal RNA". It matches the Rfam family "Bacterial small subunit ribosomal RNA", at positions 26 to 285 of the family's 1533-position model. The record is from RNAcentral.
AGAAUCAACGCUGGCGGCGUGCCUAACACAUGCAAGUCGAACGAGGAAAGUGGGAGCAAUCCCACGAGUAAAGUGGCGCACGGGUGAGUAACACGUGACUAACCUACCCUUGAGUGGGGGAUAACCUAGGGAAACCUGGGCUAAUACCGCAUAAUACCUACGGGUCAAAGGAGCAAUUCGCUUUAGGAGGGGGUCGCGGCAGAUUAGUUAGUUGGCGGGGUAAUGGCCCACCAAGACAGUGAUCUGUA